This is a long non-coding RNA of Canis lupus familiaris (dog), 1025 nucleotides long. RefSeq lists it as uncharacterized. The record is from RefSeq and is a predicted model, not a curated record. NCBI's taxonomy places the organism in Eukaryota, Metazoa, Chordata, Mammalia, Carnivora, Canidae. The transcript has 3 exons.
AAAAAAAAAAAAGGCAACCGAAAAUGUUUAGAGUUAAAUAGUAGAUUCUGCUUCCCAAGCAACAACCAGAUAUGCUACACGGUAAUACCAACAUGCAAUACCUGAAAUGUGGAAUCACAGUCUGACUGUUGCCCUUGAACGUCAGCAUUUAAUUUACAAUUUUCUGGUGCCUGGCUGAUUUCAUCUUGCAAAGUAGGAGAUAUGCCAUGAGGAUCACCUACAGAAGCACCUUCAGACAAGGCAUCCAACUUUUCAGGGGAGGGAGCUAUGUGAAGCUUACUGUCUCCUGCCCCUUCAUCAGAAUUUGUCCUCUCAUCAGCAUCUUCCAGCUGUUGAACUGAAGUUAAAUACUGCUCAAGUAGACUAUUAUCCUGCUCAGUGUUAAAGCUUUCCUUACUCCAUUCACCGUGUUCAUCACUGACAUCCCCUACACCUGACUCUUUACCAUAUCUGACUGUGUCAAUGGAAUUCCCCAUUAUGGAACUUUCACUGCCUUCUGUGGAACUUUUUUCAAAAUCCAAAGAAUCCUGCAAACAGUGAACUUGCUCUGUUAGGGAAGAAUGAAAACCAGAGUCUGGAAAUUCUGAUUGAACUUGGAGAAAAAGGAUCAGAGAUCAGUUAAUUUCAUACCGCUUUCCUGGACUAUCUGGCCAUCUUGAACAGGGCUUGAAUGCUCAGAAUCUUCUCUAGUUUGGCAUCCUCUGCAGUUUGAAGACCCAGCGUGGAAGUGAGAGGACAGACUGUAGCCAGAUACUGGACAAGCUGGAUAUGCUGGCCUGGCCGAUAUGCUCUCCCCUUGCCUUGACUAUAGAGCCAUUCAGCUUUCAAGCUGGAUUUGGAGAACAUACAGUAGAGGAGAUGACAUCAGCAUAGACAAGAUAUAUUUUGAAGCAACAAUGAUCUUCCUUCUUAAUUUACAGCAUCACUGGAUGACUUAUAAAUAAAAUUCAGUUAAGUUUUAAAAAAAAAUCUUUCCUUCUGAUUCACUCCUUUUACCCUUUAUAAUGUUUUAAACCUUUUUCUUG